GUUCUGAGUGUGGGAGGGUGGGAGUAUGAGGAGUAGGUGGUGGUUGUCUGCUGGUUCUGAGUGUGGGAGGAUGGGAGGAUGGGGGGUAGGUGGUGGUUGUCUACUGGUUCUGAGUGUGGGAGGGUGAAGGAUGGGAGGAUGGGGGGUAGGUGGUGGUUGUCUACUGGUUCUGAGUGUGGGAGGGUGGGAGGAUGGGGGGUAGGUGGUGGUUGUCUGCUGGUUCUGAGUGUGGGAGGUUGGGAGGUAGGUGGUGGUUGUCUGCUGGUUCUGAG
Molecule: long non-coding RNA, 272 nt
Filed under: Salmo salar (Atlantic salmon)
Lineage: Eukaryota; Metazoa; Chordata; Actinopteri; Salmoniformes; Salmonidae
Description: lncRNA (ENSSSAG00000096393.1)
Source: RNAcentral